RNAcentral lists this ribosomal RNA (402 nucleotides) under bacterium. RNAcentral describes it as "partial 16S ribosomal RNA". It matches the Rfam family "Bacterial small subunit ribosomal RNA", at positions 355 to 776 of the family's 1533-position model. The record is from RNAcentral.
UGGGGAAUUUUGCACAAUGGGGGAAACCCUGAUGCAGCGACGCCGCGUGAUUUAGAAGGCCUUCGGGUUGUAAAAAUCUUUUCUACGGGAAGAAAAUGACAGUACCAUAGGAAUAAGGACCGGCUAAUUCCGUGCCAGCAGCCGCGGUAAUACGUAAGGUCCGAGCGUUGUCCGGAAUCAUUGGGCGUAAAGGGUACGUAGGCGGGUAAGCAAGUUAGAAGUGAAAUCCUAUAGCUCAACUAUAGUAAGCUUUUAAAACUGCUCAUCUUGAGGUAUGGAAGGGAAAGUGGAAUUCCUAGUGUAGCGGUGAAAUGCGCAGAUAUUAGGAGGAAUACCGGUGGCGAAGGCGACUUUCUGGCCAUAACCUGACGCUGAGGUACGAAAGCGUGGGUAGCAAACAGG